Molecule: ribosomal RNA, 497 nt
Filed under: uncultured bacterium
Lineage: Bacteria
Description: partial 16S ribosomal RNA
Rfam family: Bacterial small subunit ribosomal RNA
Source: RNAcentral
GAUGAACGCUGGCGGCGUGCCUAAUACGUGCAAGUCGAGCGAACAGAUGAGGAGCUUGCUCCUCUGACGUUAGCGGCGGACGGGUGAGUAACACGUGGAUAACCUACCUAUAAGACUGGGAUAACUUCGGGAAACCGGAGCUAAUACCGGAUAAUAUAUUGAACCGCAUGGUUCAAUAGUGAAAGACGGUUUUGCUGUCACUUAUAGAUGGAUCCGCGCCGCAUUAGCUAGUUGGUAAGGUAACGGCUUACCAAGGCAACGAUGCGUAGCCGACCUGAGAGGGUGAUCGGCCACACUGGAACUGAGACACGGUCCAGACUCCUACGGGAGGCAGCAGUAGGGAAUCUUCCGCAAUGGGCGAAAGCCUGACGGAGCAACGCCGCGUGAGUGAUGAAGGUCUUCGGAUCGUAAAACUCUGUUAUUAGGGAAGAACAAAUGUGUAAGUAACUAUGCACGUCUUGACGGUACCUAAUCAGAAAGCCACGGCUGACUACGUG